AAUAACAAACCCUGAUUUCCGUGCCCAAUGUUUGACUGUCCGAAAUAAAAAAUUAUGAAAAAAAUUAAAAAGACAAGUCACGUAUAAAAUAUUAAUCAUGUUUUAUCAUCUAACAAUAAUGAAAAUACGAAUUAUAAAAAAAUUUCAUAUAAGACGGACCGUUAAAGUUGGACACGGAAACCCAGGGUUUGAUUUUUU
This is a non-coding RNA of Oryza barthii, 198 nucleotides long. Lineage: Eukaryota; Viridiplantae; Streptophyta; Magnoliopsida; Poales; Poaceae. The record is from Rfam.